AUUGAACGCUGGCGGCAGGCUUAACACAUGCAAGUCGAGCGGGGUGAUGGUGCUUGCACUAUCACUUAGCGGCGGACGGGUGAGUAAUGCUUAGGAAUCUGCCUAUUAGUGGGGGACAACAUCUCGAAAGGGAUGCUAAUACCGCAUACGUCCUACGGGAGAAAGCAGGGGAUCACUUGUGACCUUGCGCUGAUAGAUGAGCCUAAGUCGGAUUAGCUAGUUGGUGGGGUAAAGGCCUACCAAGGCGACGAUCUGUAGCGGGUCUGAGAGGAUGAUCCGCCACACUGGGACUGAGACACGGACCAGACUCCGACGGGAGGCAGCAGUGGGGAAUAUUGGACAAUGGGGGGAACCCUGAUCCAGCCAUGUCGCGUGUGUGAAGAAGGCCUUAUGGUUGUAAAGCACUUUAAGCGAGGAGGAGGCUCUUUUGGUUAAUACCCAAGAUGAGUGGACGUUACUCGCAGAAUAAGCACCGGCUAACUCUGUGCCAGCAGCCGCAGUAA
RNAcentral lists this ribosomal RNA (503 nucleotides) under uncultured bacterium. RNAcentral describes it as "partial 16S ribosomal RNA". It matches the Rfam family "Bacterial small subunit ribosomal RNA", at positions 30 to 523 of the family's 1533-position model. The record is from RNAcentral.